Molecule: small nucleolar RNA, 106 nt
Organism: Dendrobium catenatum
Lineage: Eukaryota; Viridiplantae; Streptophyta; Magnoliopsida; Asparagales; Orchidaceae
Source: RefSeq, a predicted model, not a curated record
AAAACAUGAUGAGAACAUUUUUAAAGCAUUCCUUAAAUAUCUUCCAAGUUUCAUAAAUUGAAUCUCUAUCAAUAUGGGUAAAAGAUGAAAUAUCAUUUCUAAAUAU